This 74-nucleotide transfer RNA is filed under the name Planctomycetota bacterium. RNAcentral describes it as "tRNA-Cys". It matches the Rfam family "tRNA". Rfam says of the family: Transfer RNA (tRNA) molecules are approximately 80 nucleotides in length. Their secondary structure includes four short double-helical elements and three loops (D, anti-codon, and T loops). The record is from RNAcentral. Lineage: Bacteria; Pseudomonadati; Planctomycetota.
GGCCGAGUACCCAAGCGGUUCAAGGGGACGGAUCGCAAGUCCGUCUUUCGUUGGUUCGAAUCCAACCUCGGCCU